RNAcentral lists this ribosomal RNA (2398 nucleotides) under Salmonella enterica. Its description in RNAcentral is "partial 23S ribosomal RNA". It matches the Rfam family "Bacterial large subunit ribosomal RNA", at positions 561 to 2925 of the family's 2925-position model. Lineage: Bacteria; Pseudomonadati; Pseudomonadota; Gammaproteobacteria; Enterobacterales; Enterobacteriaceae. The record is from RNAcentral.
AAAAAUCAGGCAGUGGAGCGUUUUGGGGUGGGGUGACUGCGUACCUUUUGUAUAAUGGGUCAGCGACUUAUAUUCUGUAGCAAGGUUAACCGCAUAGGGGAGCCGGAGGGAAACCGAGUCUUAAUUGGGCGUUAAGUUGCAGGGUAUAGACCCGAAACCCGGUGAUCUAGCCAUGGGCAGGUUGAAGGUUGGGUAACACUAACUGGAGGACCGAACCGACUAAUGUUGAAAAAUUAGCGGAUGACCUGUGGCUGGGGGUGAAAGGCCAAUCAAACCGGGAGAUAGCUGGUUCUCCCCGAAAGCUAUUUAGGUAGCGCCUCGUGAAUUCAUCUCCGGGGGUAGAGCACUGUUUCGGCCAGGGGGCCAUCCCGGCUUACCAAUCCGAUGCAAACUGCGAAUACCGGAGAAUGUUAUCACGGGAGACACACGGCGGGUGCUAACGUCCGUCGUGAAGAGGGAAACAACCCAGACCGCCAGCUAAGGUCCCAAAGUCAUGGUUAAGUGGGAAACGAUGUGGGAAGGCCCAGACAGCCAGGAUGUUGGCUUAGAAGCAGCCAUCAUUUAAAGAAAGCGUAAUAGCUCACUGGUCGAGUCGGCCUGCGCGGAAGAUGUAACGGGGCUAAACCAUGCACCGAAGCUGCGGCAGCGACACUGAUGUGUUGUUGGGUAGGGGAGCGUUCUGUAAGCCGUUGAAGGUGGCCUGUGAGGGUUGCUGGAGGUAUCAGAAGUGCGAAUGCUGACAUAAGUAACGAUAAAGCGGGUGAAAAGCCCGCUCGCCGGAAGACCAAGGGUUCCUGUCCAACGUUAAUCGGGGCAGGGUGAGUCGACCCCUAAGGCGAGGCCGAAAGGCGUAGUCGAUGGGAAACGGGUUAAUAUUCCCGUACUUGGUGUUACUGCGAAGGGGGGACGGAGAAGGCUAUGUUGGCCGGGCGACGGUUGUCCCGGUUUAAGCGUGUAGGUGUGUGUUCCAGGUAAAUCCGGUUCACUUUAACACUGAGGCGUGACGACGAGGCACCACGGUGCUGAAGCAACAAAUGCCCUGCUUCCAGGAAAAGCCUCUAAGCCUCAGGUAACAUCAAAUCGUACCCCAAACCGACACAGGUGGUCAGGUAGAGAAUACCAAGGCGCUUGAGAGAACUCGGGUGAAGGAACUAGGCAAAAUGGUGCCGUAACUUCGGGAGAAGGCACGCUGACACGUAGGUGAAGUGGUUUACCCAUGGAGCUGAAGUCAGUCGAAGAUACCAGCUGGCUGCAACUGUUUAUUAAAAACACAGCACUGUGCAAACACGAAAGUGGACGUAUACGGUGUGACGCCUGCCCGGUGCCGGAAGGUUAAUUGAUGGGGUCAGCGCAAGCGAAGCUCCUGAUCGAAGCCCCGGUAAACGGCGGCCGUAACUAUAACGGUCCUAAGGUAGCGAAAUUCCUUGUCGGGUAAGUUCCGACCUGCACGAAUGGCGUAAUGAUGGCCAGGCUGUCUCCACCCGGGACUCAGUGAAAUUGAACUCGCUGUGAAGAUGCAGUGUACCCGCGGCAAGACGGAAAGACCCCGUGAACCUUUACUAUAGCUUGACACUGAACACUGGUCCUUGAUGUGCAGGAUAGGUGGGAGGCUUUGAAGUGUGGACGCCAGUCUGCAUGGAGCCAUCCUUGAAAUACCACCCUUUAAUGGCUGGUGUUCUAACGUGGGCCCGUGAACCGGGUUGCGGACAGUGUCUGGUGGGUAGUUUGACUGGGGCGGUCUCCUCCUAAAGAGUAACGGAGGAGCACGAAGGUUGGCUAAUCCUGGUCGGACAUCAGGAGGUUAGUGCAAUGGCAUAAGCCAGCUUGACUGCGAGCGUGACGGCGCGAGCAGGUGCGAAAGCAGGUCAUAGUGAUCCGGUGGUUCUGAAUGGAAGGGCCAUCGCUCAACGGAUAAAAGGUACUCCGGGGAUAACAGGCUGAUACCGCCCAAGAGUUCAUAUCGACGGCGGUGUUUGGCACCUCGAUGUCGGCUCAUCACAUCCUGGGGCUGAAGUAGGUCCCAAGGGUAUGGCUGUUCGCCAUUUAAAGUGGUACGCGAGCUGGGUUUAGAACGUCGUGAGACAGUUCGGUCCCUAUCUGCCGUGGGCGCUGGAAGAUUGAGGGGGGCUGCUCCUAGUACGAGAGGACCGGAGUGGACGCAUCACUGGUGUUCGGGUUGUCAUGCCAAUGGCACUGCCCGGUAGCUACAUGCGGAAGAGAUAAGUGCUGAAAGCAUCUAAGCACGAAACUUGCCCCGAGAUGAAUCUUCCCUGAGCCUUUAAGGCUCCUGAAGGAACGUUGAAGACGACGACGUUGAUAGGCCGGGUGUGUAAGCGCAGCGAUGCGUUGAGCUAACCGGUACUAAUGAACCGUGAGGCUUAACCUUACAACGCCGAAG